Molecule: ribosomal RNA, 255 nt
Filed under: uncultured bacterium
Lineage: Bacteria
Description: partial 16S ribosomal RNA
Rfam family: Bacterial small subunit ribosomal RNA
Source: RNAcentral
UACGUAGGUGGCAAGCGUUGUCCGGAAUUAUUGGGCGUAAAGCGCGCGCAGGCGGUCCUUUAAGUCUGAUGUGAAAGCCCACGGCUCAACCGUGGAGGGUCAUUGGAAACUGGGGGGACUUGAGUACAGAAGAGAAGAGUGGAAUUCCACGUGUAGCGGUGAAAUGCGUAGAGAUGUGGAGGAACACCAGUGGCGAAGGCGACUCUUUGGUCUGUAACUGACGCUGAGGCGCGAAAGCGUGGGGGAGCAAACAGG